UAUUUACACACUCACACUGACGCACACUAUUUUCCUUUUUAUUUUUGUGUAACAACAUAGAUAUCUAUUCUUUUUAGGUGUCACACAUGUAGAAGAAAUAAUUCCAAAAUGUAAGACCUAAUAAUAUAGAAAUCAAAUACGAGACUGAAAUACGAUUACAAGUAGAUAUUCCAACAUUUAAAUUACUCAAACAUCAAUGACAUAUCGUCACCCCAUCAACAAAACUUCAAUAACUUUCUAAUAACUUAUCUACAAUUUCAAUUUGUUCACCACAACAGGCAGCACAAAAUGCAUCUUACGUCGUCGUUAUUUCAUGUCAUAUUCCACUUGGACUUCGCCCGCUGCACGAAUUGCACAUGGUUAUUAAAAGCGCAUAUGAAGAGCGAUAUUAUCAGAAAUGAAAUGACAGAAAUGGGAUUUACUCUUUAGAUGCACUCCUAAGUUUGCUUGAGCAUCAGCUUCGGUGUUGCAUUCCUGACAAUGUAAAGUGUAGACUCAUUAGCUUUAUAACGAUAGCUUAUAAAUAUAGAGUAGCACGUGCCCUUGAAGGAAAAUGUUACAACAGGAAAAGACAUGCGUUGUUUGAAUCAUGGAUAUAUCAAGAACGAAUGAAUCUACAAGCACGAUUCUUUCCUUACAGCAACAUACUUGGAUAAAUUACACAUCAACAAAGAAUAGAAUUAGAUUUAUGAAACCAACUCUAGCCACAUAAAUUGGUCGUACCUUGUAAGCUGAAUUUGGCAAUUAGAAAUCAUGUAUUUUCUUGCAUUAAAGAGUUAUGGAAGGGAUUGUUGUUUCAACUUACUCUGUCGAUAUGCUGUAUCUGGAAAGACAAAAUUGGUCUUUAAGCUCUUUAGCUAUCUUACACAAUUCAGUCAUAUUCUGUGUUUUGGUUCUCCAUUGACCUUGAACCUGCCAUUGAGAUAAAUUAGUAGGCAAAGAAAAAUGAUAGUUGUUCAGUGAAUAGCUAUAUAAUCAAUAAAAGGACUAGUUCAAGACUUCGCAUGCAACGGCUGUUGUGGAGGGAUUGUAACUCACUGAUACAGUAGUAUUAGUAGAUCAAGUCCUUU
This 1070-nucleotide long non-coding RNA is filed under the name Salvia miltiorrhiza (redroot sage). RNAcentral's name for it is "long non-coding RNA (SMIL_LNC007731)". The record is from RNAcentral. Lineage: Eukaryota; Viridiplantae; Streptophyta; Magnoliopsida; Lamiales; Lamiaceae.